UGGGGAAUAUUGGACAAUGGGCGAAAGCCUGAUCCAGCCAUGCCGCGUGUGUGAAGAAGGUCUUCGGAUUGUAAAGCACUUUAAGUUGGGAGGAAGGGCAGUAAGUUAAUACCUUGCUGUUUUGACGUUACCGACAGAAUAAGCACCGGCUAACUCUGUGCCAGCAGCCGCGGUAAUACAGAGGGUGCAAGCGUUAAUCGGAAUUACUGGGCGUAAAGCGCGCGUAGGUGGCUUGUUAAGUUGGAUGUGAAAGCCCCGGGCUCAACCUGGGAACUGCAUCCAAAACUGGCAGGCUAGAGUACGGUAGAGGGUGGUGGAAUUUCCUGUGUAGCGGUGAAAUGCGUAGAUAUAGGAAGGAACACCAGUGGCGAAGGCGACCACCUGGACUGAUACUGACACUGAGGUGCGAAAGCGUGGGGAGCAAACA
Molecule: ribosomal RNA, 427 nt
Filed under: uncultured bacterium
Lineage: Bacteria
Description: partial 16S ribosomal RNA
Rfam family: Bacterial small subunit ribosomal RNA
Source: RNAcentral